Triticum urartu is the source of this 914-nucleotide long non-coding RNA. RefSeq lists it as uncharacterized. NCBI's taxonomy places the organism in Eukaryota, Viridiplantae, Streptophyta, Magnoliopsida, Poales, Poaceae. The record is from RefSeq and is a predicted model, not a curated record.
ACAGACAGAGCGAGUCAGAGUGCGGGAGAGAGUGUCGAGAGGGCGGCGAGCUCUUCCCCAUUUCCAUGGCGACUCUGGCGGCCAUGCGCACUCUCGGUUCAGGUUUCUGCUCCGUCGUUUCCGCGGUCCUGUGUAUAGAAACAAAAGAGGUCUAAUGGUUUUCCAGUGUCAUUAACCUUCACAAGAUAUUCUGGGAAGUUUUUUUGCUUCAGUUGUUGAUGCUUUGAGACCUAGGCAGAUUUCCAAGGUCCCAAGUUGUAAAGCAUGAUCCGGUGUAAGUGCUUCCGCUGGAUUUGUGUGUUUGUAUGAUUGGUAAUACCGAAUUUAAAGGUUGGUUCCUAGAUCUUUCUUUAUGAUGGAGCAUUUGUGUUGUUCUUGGGGGUAGAAGUGUUCCAGGUGUGAAGAGAAUAACAAGGGAUCGAUCAGAUGUGAAUGGGAUGAAGUGAUUCUGUGAGCAACUACCAGAUUUGCCCCAUGUUCAGGUGCAAAGGGGCCUCAGAUGCAACAGUCAGGUUUAGUGCAUUUAUUACACUGUUACGUUUUUUACUGAAACUAUUUUGGUUUUCAGUCCUUUUUUGUCUCGUGAUAUAAAUUCACAUACAUUCAUUUUUUCUGUUGUUUCUUUUGUCGUACAUACAUAUAUACAUACACGUGUCAUGUUGUCACUGGAUGAAAAAAUUGAUUGAAGUCCAAUUUGUUUCGAGUCGACUGUAAUAUAGACACUCCCUAAAUAAAAGUAGUAUUCUAAUAAAAUAGCUAGCAUGUAGGCGGACAGGUUGAUGACUAGUUUAUAAGUGAUGAUAUUUGUGAGUUCAGAUAGCCUUCAAAAUUUAUCAUUUAAUUGGUGUACUUGUUUCUUUUUUUAUUAAUAGUUUUUUUUUGGUUUUCUCAAUUUAUUCACUAAGUGAGUUAGU